GGGUCUGUGACUAUGUUAAUUCUAUCUGAAAACCUUCAUGUAAGUAGAGAUUUGAAGAAUACACACUCUUACAAUGAAGACAGUGUGCAACAACCAAUGUGUAGUACAAGUCCAUUUCAAUUCCUUUAGUUUGUAAGUUUUUUAAUCUUUCCGUAUUCUUUAGUGUUUUAUAGUUUGUAGAAGAAACUAGAAACAGCUGUUAACAAAAAUUUGACUACAAGGUUUUUAGAAACAAGAAUAGGCAAAUGGUGUACAUGGUAAUAAGGUUUUUUUAAAGCAAUGUUUUUCAUUCGUGUGAAUGACGAACAAAAUAUUUUGUCAGCCUUACAAUAUAUACAAUCCUAGCUUAUUUUCCUA
Long non-coding RNA from Hylaeus volcanicus, 357 nucleotides. RefSeq lists it as uncharacterized. The transcript is spliced from 2 exons. NCBI's taxonomy places the organism in Eukaryota, Metazoa, Arthropoda, Insecta, Hymenoptera, Colletidae. The record is from RefSeq and is a predicted model, not a curated record.